Long non-coding RNA from Dermacentor silvarum, 444 nucleotides. RefSeq lists it as uncharacterized. The record is from RefSeq and is a predicted model, not a curated record. The transcript has 3 exons. NCBI's taxonomy places the organism in Eukaryota, Metazoa, Arthropoda, Arachnida, Ixodida, Ixodidae.
AAUGCAUGGGCAUUCCGUGAACCUUGUGCUUCAAUGCAUACAUCAGCGUUUUCCUAAAAAAGUUGCAUCACUGUUUUAACAGGAAAUAAUUUUGCUUCCAUGCAGGCUAAAGCAUGAGAGACGUCCAUAGAGUUGUCCUUGCUGUUGACGGAGCCGAGUUCAUCACUACCAGCAGCAUUGAGAAGGGCAUGGGCUUGCUCCUUGGUGCCUUCUUUGUGUCCAACAUCGCAUGUCCUCCUAGCUACCCUCUCACGAUGGAGUUUUUGCAGAGGUACUUUGGGCAAACCCAUCAAAAAAGGCGGGGCAAAGGGUUCAAUUGCGACAUCGUGCCAAGACUGCCGAGGCUCAUCAAAGCCAUCUGAGUUUUAACGUGGUACCAUAGUGCUACCAUAAUGCUGCGCUCUUGAUGCUGAACCCGAAAGGCCACUGGAUGGAUGGAUGGAU